Molecule: ribosomal RNA, 504 nt
Filed under: Uperodon obscurus (brown pug-snout frog)
Lineage: Eukaryota; Metazoa; Chordata; Amphibia; Anura; Microhylidae
Description: partial small subunit ribosomal RNA
Rfam family: Bacterial large subunit ribosomal RNA
Source: RNAcentral
AAGUUAAACGGCCGCGGUACCCUAACCGUGCGAAGGUAGCGCAAUCACUUGUUCUUUAAAUAAGGACUAGUAUGAACGGCACCACGAAGGUUAUACUGUCUCCUCCCUCCAAUCAGUGAAACUGACCCCCCCGUGAAGAGGCGGGGAUAAGACUAUAAGACGAGAAGACCCCAUGGAGCUUAAAACUCAGCAUCAAUUGCCACACAAACACACCAUUACAACCAAGCAAGCCUGACGCCUAGUUUUCGGUUGGGGUGACCACGGAGCAAAACAAAACCUCCAUGAUGAAAGGGACCUCCCUAAUCAAAGAGCUACAGCUCAAAGAAUCAAUAAAUUGACAUAAUUGAUCCAAUUAAAUUUGAUCAACGAACCAAGUUACCCUGGGGAUAACAGCGCAAUCCACUUCAAGAGCUCAUAUCGACAAGUGGGUUUACGACCUCGAUGUUGGAUCAGGGUAUCCCAGUGGUGCAGCCGCUACUAAAGGUUCGUUUGUUCAACGAUUAA